This 405-nucleotide ribosomal RNA is filed under the name uncultured bacterium. RNAcentral's name for it is "partial 16S ribosomal RNA". It matches the Rfam family "Bacterial small subunit ribosomal RNA", at positions 28 to 526 of the family's 1533-position model. The record is from RNAcentral.
GAUGAACGCUGGCGGCGUGCCUAAUACAUGCAAGUCGAGCGAAGCGGGGACGGGUGAGGAACACGUGGAUGCCCUCCUAUAGGACUGGCGUAACUUCGGGAGCCCGGAGCUAAACCGGUUACUUAUAGAUGGAUGCGCGCUGCAUUGGCUAGUUGGUAAGGUAACGGCUUACCAAGGCUACGAUGCAUAGCCGACCUGAGAGGGUGAUCGGCCACACUGGAACUGAGACACGGUCCAGACUCCUACGGGAGGCAGCAGUAGGGAAUCUUGCGCAAUGGGCGAAAGCCUGACGGAGCAACGCCGCGUGUGUGAUGAAGGUCUUCGGAUCGUAAAGCUCUGUUAUUUGGGAAGCGGUACCUAAACAGAAAGCACCGGCUAACUACGUGCCAGCAGCCGCGGUAAUAC